Molecule: ribosomal RNA, 497 nt
Filed under: uncultured bacterium
Lineage: Bacteria
Description: partial 16S ribosomal RNA
Rfam family: Bacterial small subunit ribosomal RNA
Source: RNAcentral
GAUGAACGCUGGCGGCGUGCCUAAUACAUGCAAGUCGAGCGAACAGACGAGGAUCUUGCUCCUCUGACGUUAGCGGCGGACGGGUGAUUAACACGUGGUUAACCUACCUUUAAUACUGGUAUAACUUCGGGAAACCGGAGCUAAUACCGUAUAAUUUAUUUAACCGCUUGGUUCAUUAUUUAUAUACGUUUUUUCUUUCUCUUUUAUAUUGUUCCGCGCCGCAUUAGCUAGUUGGUAAGGUAACGGCUUACCAAGGCAACGAUGCGUAGCCGACCUGAGAGGGUGAUCGGCCACACUGGAACUGAGAAACGGUCAAGACUCCUACGGGAGGCAGCAGUAGGGAAUCUGCCGCAAUGGGCGAAAGCCUGACGGAGAAACGCCGCGUGAGUGAUGAAGGUCUUCGGAUCGUAAAACUCUGUUAUUAGGGAAGAAAAAAUGUGUAAGUAACUAUGCACGUAUUGACGGUAACUAAUCAGAAAGCCACGGCUAACUACGUG